UGAGGAAUAUUGGUCAAUGGGCGGGAGCCUGAACCAGCCAAGCCGCGUGAGGGAUGAAGGCCCUAUGGGUCGUAAACCUCUUUUGUCAGGGAACAAAAGCGAGUAUGUAUACUAGUCUGAGUGUACCUGAAGAAAAAGCAUCGGCUAACUCCGUGCCAGCAGCCGCGGUAAUACGGAGGAUGCGAGCGUUAUCCGGAUUUAUUGGGUUUAAAGGGUGCGUAGGCGGCGGUGCAAGUCAGCGGUAAAAGCCCGGGGCUCAACCCCGGCGAGCCGUUGAAACUGCAGUGCUAGAGAAGGCGAGAGGUACGCGGAAUGCGCAGUGUAGCGGUGAAAUGCUUAGAUAUUGCGCAGAACUCCGAUUGCGAAGGUAGCGUACUGGCGCCUGACUGACGCUGAGGCACGAAAGCGUGGGGAUCGAACAGGAUUAGAUACC
RNAcentral lists this ribosomal RNA (433 nucleotides) under uncultured bacterium. Its description in RNAcentral is "bacterial SSU rRNA". It matches the Rfam family "Bacterial small subunit ribosomal RNA", at positions 355 to 786 of the family's 1533-position model. The record is from RNAcentral.